This is a long non-coding RNA of Gallus gallus (chicken), 1126 nucleotides long. NCBI's taxonomy places the organism in Eukaryota, Metazoa, Chordata, Aves, Galliformes, Phasianidae. The record is from Ensembl.
CGAGCUACUAAUGGUCACAAAUCAGAAUAGUACAAUGUUUCUGCUGUUUUCUGAAGCUACAUUAGAAAGCCAGAGGUGUUUACUUGAAGUUCUGCCAUGUUAAUGUUUAUGUGCUUGCUUUAAAAUGCUGUAGUUCUUUAACUAAUCAUGCAUUGUUAACCUCUUGGAAAAGGCAGCGCUUCAGACUACGGUGUUUGCACAGCAGAUUGUAAAAUUGUGUCUCAGAGCUCCAAGGGGGCUAGAACUGUCACGAAUACUUCUAAUAAUAUUGGAAGAAAAUUAAUAGAAGCUCAAGUCCUUGAGCAGGAAUCAGAAUCACACAGCACGGCAUUAUGCAGCCUCUGAAAUUUGAGGAACUGCUGUACAACAUUUCCCAUGCUCAGUUGAGUAGCCAUGUUUUAUCCUCCAGUAAAUGUUUAUUCGGCUGAUCUUACAUUUGGGAAAACUACGGAAUUAUUCAAGGCCAAAUUGCCAGUCCUGCCGAGAUCAUUCAGAGUGCUCUUGAUGUGGUUGUUCAUUGAACCAUCUGCUGAAAGACUAGAGGAGUGGCAGACAAAACAGUGGCUGAAGAAAGCUUUACUAAAUUGUUUUCAUUUCCACCAAAAGGACUGAGGAGCACUGUGAGACUGACUGUUCUUUGUGCUGAACUCAAGAGACAGCAAACUCAAUACUGGGCCUUCCAGAAUUGCAAAUGUCUGCCCAGUGGCCUGAUGAAAAACAUCCUUUGGGUGAUAAAAUGAGUUGCAUGCAAAUGACAAGUAGGUUUGAUGUGCCCUGAAAACAUUCAGCUUGGAGUGACCUGUGAUCGUAAAUUACUGGCAUGCUGCAUCAGAUCCUAGACUUGUAAUUUCAUCAAGAUCAACAAGAUGCAAUCUUGAAAACUGUUUGCAUGAUGUGAGGACAAAUUGAUGCCCUUGUCCUUCCAGACUGCUGGAUCUGAUGCUCGGGAGUCUGACUACUUUGUGUCUCUAAGUAGCAGCAUAGGGCCUUUGUAAAUAAUUAAGUAGAAAUUUGUUACCCUUUUGUCAAAUGUAUUUCUGAUGUUUCUCUUCCUUAGCCUCCAUUAAGAAAUCCCUUGAUUAAAUUUUAAAGUCUUAAACAAUUUGAAGGGCUGAGAGCACAGGAC